Molecule: long non-coding RNA, 459 nt
Filed under: Paramuricea clavata
Lineage: Eukaryota; Metazoa; Cnidaria; Anthozoa; Malacalcyonacea; Plexauridae
Source: RNAcentral
GCUAAGUUAAAUUUUAGUUGAACUUCGCCGUAUGAAAUUUGAGAACACUGACAGACUGACAAAGGUUGAAAAUUUGCCAUUAUAUAUGAACAGUUUUUAUGCGGAGCAUUAAAAACGUAUUGAGAAUCAAACUUUAUAGCACACGCUUACAGACCACGGAAACAUUCGACGAAAACAUGUAACUUAUCCUGCGUGCAAGAAGGAGUUUAUAUCGAGGACUAUGUUUUGAAAGAAUUUGCCGUGUGAAAAGCGACACGCCGUUUAUAGACGUUAUUAAAUAAUAUCUUAGUAUCUUACGAUAUAAAGAGGUAUACAAACUAUUUUGGAUCCAACUUGGCUUUCAAAGACCUCUGAUCCAUGGAUGAUCCAUAAAGAAUUUUGGUAUUAUUAAAAGUACAGACGGUAGCGCUGAACAGGACACUUCACAACGACAGCGCCAUAUUUAGUCGAGGCUCAAGG